This 67-nucleotide transfer RNA is filed under the name Microcebus murinus (gray mouse lemur). RNAcentral's name for it is "tRNA-Arg". It matches the Rfam family "tRNA". Rfam says of the family: Transfer RNA (tRNA) molecules are approximately 80 nucleotides in length. Their secondary structure includes four short double-helical elements and three loops (D, anti-codon, and T loops). Lineage: Eukaryota; Metazoa; Chordata; Mammalia; Primates; Cheirogaleidae. The record is from RNAcentral.
UGGUAAUUAGUUUAAACUAAAAUAACUGAUUUCGACUCAUUAGAUUAUGGUGAUCCAUAAUUACCAA